This 330-nucleotide ribosomal RNA is filed under the name uncultured eukaryote. RNAcentral's name for it is "partial 18S ribosomal RNA". It matches the Rfam family "Eukaryotic small subunit ribosomal RNA", at positions 1470 to 1796 of the family's 1831-position model. The record is from RNAcentral.
CCCUUAGAUGUUCUGGGCCGCACGCGCGCUACACUGACGCAUUCAACGAGUCUAAAACCUGGUCUGAUAGGGCUGGGUAAUCUUUUGAAUGUGCGUCGUGAUUGGGAUAAAUGAUUGUAAUUCUUCAUUUUCAACGAGGAAUGCCUAGUAAACGCAAGUCAUCAGCUUGCAUUGAUUACGUCCCUGCCCUUUGUACACACCGCCCGUCGCUCCUACCGAUUGAAUGAUCCGAUGAAUAUCAUGGACUGAGAGUGUUAGAGUUUUCGGACUUCUACACUUCUCGGGAAGUGAAGUGGAUCUUAUCAUUUAGAGGAAGGAGAAGUCGUAACA